Helianthus annuus (common sunflower) is the source of this 235-nucleotide long non-coding RNA. RefSeq lists it as uncharacterized. NCBI's taxonomy places the organism in Eukaryota, Viridiplantae, Streptophyta, Magnoliopsida, Asterales, Asteraceae. The record is from RefSeq and is a predicted model, not a curated record. The transcript has 3 exons.
CUAAAAACAAUGCUCCAAUCGUUUUUAAAGUUGAUUGAUGACUAUCAUCCUAUAUUUUUGGAAAUACCGUAUGAUGAGCCAGCUUAUUGUGGGAAGGAAAAGUUCCAUAUGCUCAAUGUAUUGAACUUAUUGAUGAUGACUUAUGCAACUGCAGGAGUCUGAAUCUUCUUCGAACACAAGAGGAAAUACCGUAUAAUGAGCGACCUUAUUGUGGGAAAGAAAAGUUCCAUAUGGC